This 253-nucleotide ribosomal RNA is filed under the name uncultured bacterium. Its description in RNAcentral is "partial 16S ribosomal RNA". It matches the Rfam family "Bacterial small subunit ribosomal RNA", at positions 524 to 776 of the family's 1533-position model. The record is from RNAcentral.
UACGUAGGGUGCAAGCGUUGUCCGGAACUAUUGGGCGUAAAGAGCUCGUAGGCGGUCUGUCGCGUCGGCUGUGAAAUCCCGAGGCUCAACCUCGGGUCUGCAGUCGAUACGGGCAAACUAGAGUAUUGCAGGGGAGACUGGAAUUCCUGGUGUAGCGGUGAAAUGCGCAGAUAUCAGGAGGAACACCGGUGGCGAAGGCGGGUCUCUGGGCCGAUACUGACGCUGAGGAGCGAAAGCGUGGGGAGCGAACAAG